CCUAAGGGAAGCAGCCAUGUUUUAAAGUCAACAGCUGGAUCUACCACUGAUGUUUUAGUAGAGAAAACAACUCCUGUUCAACCCCCUCCAGACUUGCUUGACCUGGGUGAACCAACCAUUAAAGAUGGUCCUUCAUCGGUUGAUCCAUUUAAGCAAUUGGAAGAGCUGCUUGACCCAACCCAACUUGGUUCAAGUGCUAAUCCUGGCA
This 208-nucleotide unclassified non-coding RNA is filed under the name Hevea brasiliensis (rubber tree). Lineage: Eukaryota; Viridiplantae; Streptophyta; Magnoliopsida; Malpighiales; Euphorbiaceae. The record is from RNAcentral.